CCCCAUCAUUAUAUAUAUUUAUAUAUAAUUUGACUUUUAUAAGUAUUCCCUACUCAUAAAUUUUCAUGAUAGAAUUUUUGAAUCAAUAAUCUAUAUUAUUAAAAAUAAUUUAAAAUAUUUAAAAUUUAUAAAAGUUAAAUUUCAUAAUUCUACGAUAUUAUUUACCAUACGAUCGAAAAAUCUCAAAAUUAAUAAUUUUUUACGAUCUGUAUGAGAUAUUUCUUAGUUUACCAGUAUAAAAAAAUCAAAAUUAAUUUAAUUUUUGACAUAAAAUUUUAUUCAAUAUAUUUAAAUAAAGAGUAAUAAUUUCGAUCUUAAAUUGAAAAAUCCGAUCAUCUAUUUUUAGAAGCCGUUCAAUUUUGACUGCUUGAUGGACUAUAUUAUAAUUUUGAAAAUUUUUAAAAUUUAUUUUUUAGAAAUUUCAAAUGUUUUGCGUUAUUUUUAACGGUAUAAAUCGUCGAUUCGGAAGGUAUAUCAUCAAAACUUAUGAGUAUAAAAAUAUCUAUACUCAUAAAAGAUAGUAUCCUUCCUCUCUCUCUAUAUAUAUUUAUAAAACUAGACUGCAAUACCAUCUACUUUCUACCAACUGUCCCUAGCGCAAAUGACAAAGAGUAUGGUUGUUGGUACACGAGACACCAAGUUCGGAUCCUAGUUGAUUCACAUUUCUAGCUAUGUUUAUUUCUAAAUGAAAUAAACGAAGCGGAUAUAUAGCAUAUUAUCUAUCUCUCAAAAAAAAUACUAUCCACUUUCUCUCUUAUUAUUAGGCCUUCACAAUUUUGUCAUUUAAUCAACCAUAUAUAUAUAUAUAUAUAUA
Molecule: long non-coding RNA, 814 nt
Filed under: Ananas comosus (pineapple)
Lineage: Eukaryota; Viridiplantae; Streptophyta; Magnoliopsida; Poales; Bromeliaceae
Description: long non-coding RNA (ACOM_LNC004628)
Source: RNAcentral